This 463-nucleotide ribosomal RNA is filed under the name uncultured bacterium. RNAcentral's name for it is "partial 16S ribosomal RNA". It matches the Rfam family "Bacterial small subunit ribosomal RNA", at positions 28 to 507 of the family's 1533-position model. The record is from RNAcentral.
GACGAACGCUGGCGGCGUGCUUAACACAUGCAAGUCGAACGGUAAAGCUCUUCUUAGGUGAUGAGUUGCGAACGGGUGCGUAACACGUGGACAACAUUCCCCCGGCCUUGGGUUAAGUACAAGUAAUGGAGGCUAGUACCAGAAGUGCAUAGCUGCUCGCACGGGUGGGUGUGGAUUGGAUUUCCGGCUGGGGAUGGGCUCGCGGCUUAUCAGCUUGUUGGUGGGGUAGUGGCUUACCAAGGCAACGACGGGUAGCCGGCCUGAGAGGGUGACCGGCCACACUGGGACUGAGAUACGGCCCAGACUCCUACGGGAGGCAGCAGUGGGGAAUAUUGCACAAUGGGCGGAAGCCUGAUGCAGCAACGCCGCGUGGGGGAUGACGGCCUUCGGGUUGUAAACCUCUUUCGCCAGGGACGAAGCGUGAGUGACGGUAAUUGGAAAAGAAGCACCGGCCAACUACGUG